This 39059-nucleotide long non-coding RNA is filed under the name Glycine max (soybean). Its description in RNAcentral is "long non-coding RNA (GMAX_LNC002768)". Lineage: Eukaryota; Viridiplantae; Streptophyta; Magnoliopsida; Fabales; Fabaceae. The record is from RNAcentral.
CAACAACAGCCUUAUUUUCAUAAUGCUGCUGGCCCAAGCAGACCAUACGUUCCUCCACCAAUCCAACAACAACAAUAGCAACAGACCCAGAAACAACAAACAGUUGAGGCUCCUCCGCAACCUUCCCUUGAAGAACUUGUGAGGCAAAUAACUAUGCAAAACAUGCAGUUUCAACAAGAGACCAGAGCCUCCAUUCAGAGCUUAACAAAUCAGAUGGGACAAUUGACUACACAGUUAAAUCAACAACAGUCCCAGAAUUCUGACAGAUUACCUUCUCAAUAUGUCCAGAAUCCCAAAAAUGUGAGUGCCAUUACAUUGAGGUCGGGAAAGCAGUGUCAAGGACCUCAACCAGUAACAUCUUCCUCAUCCGCAAAUGAACCUGCCCAACUUCACCCUACUCAAGAAAAAGAUGAUGACAAAAAUUUAAAGAGUAAGUCACCUAACAAUUUCUAUGCAGGUGAAUCUAAAGAGAAGCAACAUAUCCCUCUUCCAUUCCCUCCAAGAGCAAUUUCCAACAAAAAAAUGGAAGAGACAGAGAAGGAGAUCUUGGAAACAUUUAGAAAAGUAGAAGUAAACAUACCUCUGCUAGAUGUAAUAAAGCAAAUUCCAAGAUAUGCUAAAUUCUUAAAGGAGCUGUGCACUAAUAAGCGGAAGCUUAAAGGAAGUGAAAGAAUUAGUAUGGGCAAAAAUGUCUCCGCAUUGAUUGGUAAAUCUGUUCCCCAAAUCCCUGAAAAAUGUAAAGAUCCAGGUACAUUCAACAUACCUUGUAUUAUAGGGAACAGUAAGUUUGACAAUGUCAUGCUAGAUUUAGGAGCUUCUGUUAGUGUUAUGCCUCUGUCUAUUUUUAUUUCUCUAUCUCUAGGUCCUUUGCAGUCAACUGAUGUGGUAAUUUAUUUAGCUAAUAGAAGUGUUGCCUAUCCUGCUGGUUUCAUAGAGGAUGUCUUAGUUAGAGUAGGUGAACUGAUUUUCCCUGUUGAUUUUUAUAUUUUGAAUAUGGAGGAGGGAUUUUCUAAAGGAUCAGUUCCCAUCAUUCUAGGUAGACCUUUUAUGAAAACUGCUAGAACUAAGAUAGAUGUAUAUGCAGGCACACUAUCUAUGGAGUUUGGUGAUAUAACUGUUCAUUUUAAUAUUCUUGAUGCUAUGAAACACCCAUCUGAAGAUCUUUCUGUGUUUCGUGUUGAAAUAAUUGACCAUAUUGUUGAUGAAUACAUGACUGAUCUUCAUUCUAAUCUGCAUGUUUGUCACUCUUCAUGCAUUGAAUAUGAAUUUGUACUUGAUCAUAUGUCUGAAUUUGAUGCUGAGAGUGAAUAUGAAUUUGAUAUUGAUUACAUGUCUGGUGAUGUUUUACCUCUUGAGAUUGAUUUUAUAAAGUCAGAUAAAACUAACCAUGUUUCAGGAAGUACACAUAAUUCUGACUUUCUUUAUGAGGUACAGGCUGAAAAACCAUCUUUUUCUACCAUUAUCCAGUCGACCACACCAGAAUUGAAGCCUCUACCAUCAAAUUUAAAAUAUGCUUACUUGGAUGAUAGCAAAAGUUUUCCAGUAAUUAUAUCUGCCUCCCUUGCUGAUGAGCAAGAGAAGAAGUUGUUAUCAGUUCUCAAGAAGCAUAAGAAGGCUAUAGGCUGGACCCUGGCGGACAUUCCUGGUAUUAGCCCAUCCAUAUGUAUGCAUUGAAUAAAUUUAGAGGAUGGGGCUAAACCAGUAAGACAACCACAGAGAAGACUUAACCCGGUGAUUCUUGAUGUAGUGAAGAAGAAGGUAACCAAGCUUUUGCAAGCUGGAAUCAUUUAUCCUAUCUUCGACAGCCAAUGGGUGAGUCCCGUCCAGGUAGUCCUGAAGAAAACCGGCCUCAUCGUGAUAAAAAAUGAGAAGGAGGAGUUGAUUCCUACUAGGGUGCAGAACAAUUAGAGAGUCUGCAUCGACUAUAGGAGGCUGAACCAGGUUACCAAAAAGGACCAUUUUCCCCUGCCAUUCAUUGACCAGAUGCUUGAACGCCCGGCAGGUAAAUCUCACUACUGUUUCCUUGUUGGUUUUUCUGGUUAUAUGCAAAUCACUAUUGCUCCUGAGGAUCAGGAAAAGACCACAUUCACCUGCCCCUUCGGCACUUUUGCCUAUAGGAGGAUGCCUUUCGGCCUGUGCAAUGCCCCUGGUACCUUCCAGCGGUACAUGAUUAGUAUUUUUAGUGAUUUUUUAGAAAAUUGCAUAGAGGUGUUUAUGGAUGAUUUCACUGUAUAUGGAUCCUCUUUUGAUAUUUGUUUGGAUAGUCUGGAAAAGGUUUUGAAUAGAUGCAUUGAAACUAACCUUGUUCUAAAUUUUGAAAAAUGUCAUUUUAUGGUUGAGCAAUGUAUAGUUUAAGGCCACAUUAUUUCCAAUAAGGGCAUUGAAGUAGAUCCUGCAAAAAUUUCUAUUAUUUAACAAUUGCCUUACCCCUCUUGCGUGCGAGAGGUGCGAUCUUUUCUUGGUCAUGUAGGAUUCUACAGGCGCUUUAUAAGAGAUUUUAGCAAGGCACCUGAUUGGACAACCCCAUUUGAGCUAAUGUGUGAUGCAUCCAAUUACACAUUGGGGGUUGUCCUUGCUCAAAAUAUCUCCUUACUUCAGCUUACUUCUUUUCCACCAAGACUUAGGGAGUUUUUCUUUUCCUAUCUCCUUCAUUACUUUUAUUACAUUUGUCCGAUUCUAUUUGAUGGUUUAAUUGCUUUUAAUCUUUUAAUUGUGCUACAUUGAGGACAAUGUGUUGUUUAAGUAUGGAGGGGGGAGUGUUCUUUGGUUUUGGUUUUGCUAGUUUUGUUAGUUUUGUUGGGUUUCUAGUUUAAUAUUUGUUGGAUCAAGUGGCCUCAGAAUAAUUAAGAAGGGGGGUUGAAUUAAUUAUUCCUAAACCUUUACUAAUUAAAAAUUUACUCUUCUAAGGCUUUUACUUAUGUUGUUAAGAGAAUAAGGAGUAGAAGAGAAACUUAACCAAAAGUAAAAAUGGAAAUUAAAAUGCACAGUGGAAAGUAAAAAGUAGGGAAGAAGGAGACAAACACACAAGAGUUUUUAUAUUGGUUCGGCAACAACCCGUGCCUACAUCCAGUCCCUAAGCGACCUGCGGUCCUUGAGAUUUCUUUCAACAUUGUAAAAAUCCUUUUACAAGCAAAGAUCCACAAGGGAUGUACCCUCCCUUGUUCUCUUUGAACCUAGUGGAUGUACCCUCCACUAGAACUGAUCCACAAGAGAUGUACCCUCUCUUGCUCUCAGUCAAACCCAAGUAGAUGUACCCUCUACUUGUACCACAAAGGAUGUACCCUCCAAUGUGAUAAGACAAAGAUCUUAGGCGGUUAAACCUUUGAUACUUUGUGAAUGGGGAUACAAAAGAAUUCUCAGGCGGUUAGUCCUUUAAACACUUUUGUAUAAGGGAAAGGCAAGAAUCAAAAGAAUUCUCAGACUAUGUCGUUUUGAAUUCUUUGACAAGGGAGAAGGGAGACAUAAAAUAAUUCAGGCGGUUAGUCCUUUGUUCUUUUGGAAAAGGGAGAAGAGAGACACAAAAAGAAUUCAGGCGGUUAGUCCUUGGCGAAUUCUUUUUGGCAAAGGGAAAAGAGAUGAAAAGAAUGAAUAGCACAAGUUUUCAAGGUUUAGAAAACCAAAAAACUUUGGAAAGCUUUUGGCACAAAGAAGAAGAAGAAGUUCAAAGAGAUUCAAGACUUGUAAAGGAUUGUAAUAGAUUGAUUGGAUUGAUAGAAAGAUUGAUUUUCAAAUGCAAAACAAAGCCUUUCUUUUAUAGACUCUUUAUGUCUGGUCAAGAGAACCAUUUAGAAGAGUUAUGACUUUUAGAAAAACUUAAAACCAAUUUGAAAAAGUCAAAAAACAUUUGAAGAGUUACAUCUUUUGAUUUACUCAGAAACAAUGACUAGUAAUCGAUUACCAAAUCAGUGUAAUCGAUUACACAAAGCUUUUAUGUGAAAGGAUGUGACUCUUCACAUUUGAAUUUGAAUUUCAAUGUUCAAAGGCACUGGUAAUCGAUUACCAAAACAUUGUAAUCGAUUACAGCUUUUUGAAAUCAAUUGGAACGUUGUAAAUUCAGUUGAGAACUUUUUCAAAUCCAUUUUGCUACUGGUAAUCGAUUACAAUAAUCUGGUAAUCGAUUACCAGAGAGUAAAAACUCUUUGGUAAACAUGUUUUGAGAAAAAUCCAUGUGCUGCUCAAUUUUUGAAAAAACCUUUUCGUACUUAUCUUGAUUAAGUCUUCUCUUGAUUCUUGAAUCUUGAGUAUUGAAUCUUGAUCUUGAUUCUUGGAAGCUUGAUCCUUGAAUCAUGAUUCUUGAUCCUUGAAAUCAACUUUCCUCUUUAAUCUUGAAGUGUUCUUCAACUUUCCUCUUGAAUCUUGAACUCAUUCUUUGAUUGACCUUUGAGCUUUUUGUCAUCACCUUUGUCAUCAUCUUUGUUAUCAUCAAAACAUCUUUGAACCAAUCUUGAUUCAUCAUGAAGCUUUGCUUCUACAAUAUUUUAGGUCAAUUCUGUUUGCAUGUACAACUUUGCAUAUUUUUCUUUGAAUUAUAGGAUAUGUUCAAGAAAUGGGUAAUUGUUCUGAAAAUAAAAGUCUCUUGACAUUUUGUGAUUUGAAAUCCUUGUUUUUCCUCUACAUGUCAUGAUAGUUUUGAAAGCUCAAUUUAAAAGUGAUAAGUUUACCUUUGUGAGAAUUUGAGCCAUCCAUCAUCAUAAUCUUUUGGUGUGUUUUGACCCAUUGAUUGCUUGCACAAUAGCCUUGGCUUGAUUCUUGUUGAUACUUCCUAAUUCACAUGCAUAUUUGGAAAUGAUUUAGGCAAUUUUGUUCUUAUAAACUUCUAGCCAAAUGGACUUACCUUGAAUUAAUUUUUGGCCAUGCUUAAUGUUUCAUUUUGGCCAUGCUUGAUGUAUCUGUAUAUUGCCUAGUUCUUGCUUUAAUCUUCAAAUUCAAUCUAAAAAAAAUGAAAAAAAAAAUUAAAUUGCUGUAAAUUCUACAAAUUCGUACUGUUCAAAAAAAAAAAAGAAGAAAAGAAGUGAAGUUGAAUAAAUGAGGUCUUGUUAUGAGGACUCGAUUUGGGAGCCUUGGUUGAUUUUGUUGAUAUUAGAGGGUUUGGGUUUACUACUUGUGCUUAAUUUCCACUUAUUCCCCAUUGUUCCUCUAUUCCUUUGGGAUUUAGCUACUUAUUCCAUAUUUUUCUUCCCUACCUUGUCCUUGGCCCCAUUACAACCUUUAAAGACCUUUUGAUCCUUAUGUGCAUGUGUUUGUCAAGUUGUUUGUCAAUUUUAGAAUUUUGCCAAGUCUAUGUGGUGUUUGUUUUCAUGGGUGCUUCGAGAGUAAACAGUAGCCUAGACACUUGAGAGAUAGAGUGUAUAUCUUGUGAGGCUUAAUCAUUUUUCAUUCUUGAGUUGAUUAACUAUUUUGCCACGAUUGGGUUGCUCGGAUGAUUUUCACGAAUGUCUUGACUCUUUGGAUAUCUUCAUGUUAGAUGUUACCCAUUCCUUGAUGUUCAUUGAGAAAUAUGUAAAUGUUUUUGUUUGUUCCUCUUUGAUAUCCUUAGAUUUUGUUCUUUAUUUCAUUUUGCCUAGGAGUGCAAAAGGCUAAGUAUGGGGGGUUUUGAUGUGCCAUUAUUUUCUCCUAUUUCUUAAUCCUUUUUUGCACCAUUUUAAGUACUGAUUAGUCUUAAUUGUCAAAUUAAUAAGGCAGUUUUAUUAUUUGGGCCCAUUCAGCUAAUUUGAUGUUUUUAAUCUAAUUUCAUGAAUUAAUGAAGCAUUGGACUUGAAUCCAAAAUUGGGCUUAGACUUGAAGAGGGCAGACUAUUUUAUUCUACAAAAUUAGAUCUUAUCUUAUCUUAUCUUAUCUUAACUAGAUAUUAUUUAGAUUUGAUCUCAUCUAGAAAUUAUUUCAUCUAGAUCUUAUCUUAUCUUAUCUAGAUUUGAUUGUAUUUUAUUUAUGGUCUUGGAUUUAAAACAGAUUUGUAAGCUUUGGGGCUGGAAAACUAUAUAACAACACCAAGGUUCUAGUUUAGCCCUCUCUUCUCUCUCUCUCCCUCUCUUCUUUUUCUUCUUUAUUUUCGUUUUUUGCAAUUCCAAUUCUGACUUUUUGUUUUAGCAAUAAAAUUUCGUUCUUCAAUCUAUAAUUUCGUUCUCUAUUUGAUUAAUGGAAGGCUAAGUCCCCAGCGUUGUUUUCUCUUGAGGAUCAAGCACAGUUCUCUUUGAGGUUCUAUUAUUACUGUUAAAUUUUGUUCAGUUUUUCCUCUUCACUAAUUACUCUGAAUUUGUUGCUAUUAAUUCAUGCAUGCUUAGUGCUUGAUUAAUUGUCUCUACGCUUAAUUUACGUUCAUGCUUAAUGAUCGUUUAUGAGUAAUUGGUGUAUGUGUUGCUUAAUCAUAUAAUGAAUGCCUUAUGUUAAAUUUCGCUUAGUAAUUUAAUUUAGGGUUGGAUUAAGUGGUUAAACUGAUAAAGGAUAAAUUCUCGCAACAUAGGAUAAGAGACUUGCUUGUGAAUCAAGGGGAAGCAACGUAUUUUAAUUCUGAUAUUUUCUAAUUCAAUUUUACUCGCUGUUUAAUUUACAAAAGCAAACAACCCCCCCCCCCCCAAUUUGUUACUAUUUCCUACUAUCUGUUAUGAACAUUUGGUUUAUCAUUGCUCGUUGGGAAACGACCUAGGAUCACUUCCUAGUUACUGCAUUUUAAUGUUCAUUUGAUUCGGGUACGACCUCGAUCAAUGAUGAAAAAUCUAGUGCUCCAUUAGGGGUUGGAUUUUCAGACACGACUUUUGAGAAUUCUCGCGCUUAAAGGUAAUGUUUUUCAUUUUGCUCCAUAUCGAGUACUUUAAAAUCUAUAUUUUAGUAUUAAACUUAGUAUUUGUUUGGCAAAAGACAAGUCAGUUAGCGGUGUGUAAUCCAUUAUCCUCAUGGGCAUUUACUAGAUAGCGUAAUAUUGCAUAUAGUGGCAAGCAGAACCUCAUAUGCAAAUGCUCAUAGCAGAAGUCGUGCUUAAAAUAGCCUUGGAAAUGGUCUACAUGAAGUAACAUAAUCUAAGUCCCUCUUUUCCUCUGAAUCUUGAUUAGUUAAAAAUGAAUAAUCAAGUACUUACAUAAAUUGACUAAAUUUACAUGCAAUAUAUUAAUGCAAUUGGUGUAGUGUAGAUUCCUUUAGUGGUAUUAAUUUUUUAAUGUUGUUGGAAUCAUGAUUCAUUAGGCUUAGACUUUGGUGUAAGUAUCAUCUGCAUGGCAUGCAUUUAACUUGUAACAUUGUAAUUGCACUGAUCCAUUUUGACAAGAGUAUUGUCAAAUCUAUCUUUUUCUAUGCUUAAUUAAUGGUGGCUUGUUAGGUAUCAAAUUGGGUGGCUACUCUACAUUAGUCCAUGUUUUGAAAGACAUAUUAUCGUAUCAUUUUUAGUGUAAUCUGAAUAUGACUUCUUUUACUCACAAGGCAAGUAAUUAAGAAUUGACACGUUCAAUGGUUUAUAAAAUGCAAAAUAUAUUAUUUUACUUUCACCAUGAAAUUAUUUAUAUCUCCAUUUGUCAAUGUGAUCCUUAUUUUUCACUGCAAAAAGCAUCAUGUAGUGACGUAUUGUGUUCUUACAUCAAUCAAAUAAAAUAAUACUAAUUAAGCUACAAUUGAUGAAACUUAUGAGUUGACCCUACCAUUAUCAUUUAUAAUAUGUAUAAUAUUAUAGUAACCUAGCAUGCAUGUUUUAUAAUAAUAAAAAUAGUUUUGUGAAAUGUAGUAGCAAUUCUUUAGCCAUCACUAUCAGUACUAGCAUUUAUCUAAUGUCAACAUAUAGACUUUAUAUUAGCACUUGAAGCUUUUUGCUAUCUCUUCAUUUUGUUAUAUGUAGGUGUUAGGGGAAAAGAAUAUGAUAUAUAUAUAUAUAUAUAUAUAUAUAUAUAUAUAUAUAUAUAUAUAUAUAUAUAUAUAUUGCCUAAUUUGACCUAAGGACUAAGAGAGAAAGGUAUUUUGCAAAAAUAAAAUUGAUGCAAUUCUACCUCCAAGGGCAUUGGAUAGAAGAUUCCAAGACUAUUGGGCCAAAGAUGCAAGAGAAGGCCCUAGGGUUCUCAUAGGCUUUAGGAUAGAUUUUGGGUCCAUGGGCUCAGUAUGAGCCCAUUUAUCUUCGUACAUAUUAGAUUAGGAUUUCAUUAUUUUUGGGCCUUGUAUUUAGGGCUCCAUAAUGUAGGUAGGGUAUCCUAUUAAUGUAGGAUUUUUCAGCCCUUGUAAUUUAGGGCACCUAGACUAGUUUUUGUACUAUGGGUAGUUUUGUAAUUUCAUAUGCAUUAAGUGAAUAUUUGAUGUGUGUGUUGGGAAAUAAAUUUAAUUGAAUUUGGAGAAGCCCAUACAAUUAAAUUUUAGAGGGGGAGGUGAACAUUUGCUUGCUACACCUCAUUGUCACAUCAUAUAGUAACACUUUGUGCAUGUCUUUCAUGCUUUAUAUGCCUCAUGACACCUAAGCACACUUAGUGGAAAAUCUUUGACUUGAUCUUGGAUUAAUGGGUUGAACCAUAGUUAAAAUUCACUAAUCAUAAUUAGUGAAAUUUUGGCUCCAAAGUUUGGCUCCACAAAUUCAAUUUCAAAUUCAAGUGAAAUUUGAAUAGAAAUUCAAAUUUCCUUCCAAUUUUGUGACACUUAGGCUAUAAAUAGAAGUUAUAUGUGUGCAUUUUUCAACUUUGAUAAUUUGAGAAUUACAUUUCAAAGUUGAGACCUCAUUUGAGACACAAAAUUUCGUGCUCUUUCUCUCCCUCUCCCUCCACUCAUCUUCUCUUACCUUCAAGCUCUUAUCCAUGGCUUCCUACGGUGGUAAGCUUGUUCUUGACUCAUCUUCUCGUUGAAGUGGUGUCUCCAAUCAUCUUUCUUCCUUCUCCAUUCUGUUGCCAUUCAUCUUCAAGAAGCAAAGGAAUCCAUUGAUGAAGAAGAUCCAAGGCCUACAAGUUCCACAUGGAGCUACAUCAUGUGGUAUCAAGAGCAUCUUCAUCUAGGUGAUGUUCUUUUGCUUCCUCUAUCUUUUUGGUCGGUCAAUUCACUUUAACUCCUUGUUCUUCAUCUUAUUCUCCAUGUAUAUCCUCCAUUUUCUUGUGGUUUGGUUCUGUUCAGAGUAGAUUCAAAAAAAUAAAUCGAUUAAAUCUUAUAUCUAUACUUGUUCUUGCAUUUCUAUGGUUCAAAUUUUACAAAUCUACUCUUGAAUCAUGUUUUUGUGUUUAUUAUAGGUUCUAUCAUUUUUUAGUCAUAAUCUUCUUGUGUUGAACCUCUAGAUCUAAAUUUUCUUCCAAAAUAUUAAUUAGAAAUUUGCAUGAAAUUAAAAAAUACGAAAAAUCACACAAGUUGGCAGGAAAAUCAAUAUCCAGGAAAAAAAAAGUGAAAGGGAAGUGUGCUUGUUGUUUUGGCACGAAAUUUGUUCUAUAAUUUGUACCUAUUUUAUACGAAUCAUAGUUCUGAAAUUUCAAUUGAAAAUUAGUGUGAAAAAAAGUGCCAAAACUAGAGGUUUCUUAAGUCUUAUUUUUUUAGUUUUUUUUUACUCUACUCUAGAGUCAUUCUUCUUGUGUUGAACCUCUAGAUCUAAAUUUUCUUCCAAAAUAUUGAUUAGAAAAAAAAUGCAAAAAUCUACGUGUAAAUCACUUAAUCCAUGUUGUCUUAGAGUCAUGUUUAGUCAUAAUAAUUGUCACAUUAUGUUCUAAGUUUGUGUUGAAUUGUGAUUUUGUUGAUUGAAUUCUAGAUACAUUUGUUCAUGUAUUCUUGUCAUUCUUAGCCUAUCUUUUGAAUUUUGAGUCUAAGUCAUGCAUGUUAUUUAGUUCAUAACAUGUUCUAAAUCAAUUCCUAGAAGCAGUCUUGUUGUUGAACUUUGUUUUGUUUUCUAAGUUUCCUAUAUGAUGCCUAUGAAGAAAUUGAGUUGUGGUGUUGAGUUGUGGCUAAAUUUGUGAACCAAAAUAAGUCUUAAGCUCUCUUGAAUUGUGUUAUUCAAGAUAUUUGAGCAUAGUCAAACACAAAUUGUGAUUAUCCAAGCCUUAAGCAACAUAAACACUACUAUUGAUUUCUAGGUUAAAAUCACUUGUGCUCGUAGCUUGAACAUACAAACUUGUAAAAAUUAUUGGGAAUUGGUCACUGCGAAUUUUGAGCUGAAAUUUUUAUUGAAUUUUGUAGACUUCUGGAAAAAAAUUAUAAAAAAGGAACCAAGCGAUUUGGAUAAAAUGAAAAAAUACGAAAAAUCACACAAGUUGGCAAGAAAAUCAGUAUCCAAGAAAAAAGUGAAAAGGAAGUGUGCUUGUUGUUUUGGCUUGAAAUUUGUUCUAUAAUUUGUGCCUAUUUUAUACCAAUCAUAGUUUCGAAAUUUCAAUUGAAAAUUAGUGUGAAAAAAGUGCCAAAACUAGAAGUUUCUUGAGUCUUAUUUUUUUAGUUUUUUUUACUCUACUCUAGAGUCAUUCUUCUUGUGUUGAACCUCUAGAUCUAAAUUUUCUUCCAAAAUAUUGAGUAGAAAAAAAAAACACAAAAAUUUAAGUUUAAAUCACUUAAUCCAUGUUGUCUUAGAGUCAUGUUAAGUUAUAAUAAUUGUCACAUUAUGUUCUAAGUUUGUGUUGAAUUUUGAUUUUGUUGAUUGAAUUCUAGAUACAUUUGUUCAUGUAUUCUUGUCAUUCUUAGCCUAUCUUUUGAAUUUUGAGUCUAAGUCAUGCAUGUUAUUUAGUUCAUAACAUGUUCUAAAUCAAUUCCUAGAAGUAGUCUUAUUGUUGAACUUUGUUUUGUUUUCCAAGUUUCCUAUAUGAUGCCUAUGAAGAAAUUGAGUUGUCGUGCUAAUUUGUGGCUGGAUUUGUGAAUCAAAAUAAGUCUUAAGGUCUCUUGAAUUGUGUUAUUCAAGACAUUUGAGCAUAAUCAAACACAAAUUGUGAUCUUCUUAAUGGAAUUAACAUUCUCUUACUUUGUACUACCUUGCUAGUUAGAUUCUCAGUCUUAACAAAUUUCAUUUAUUUUAAAUAUAUAUAUAUAUACACACACACACACACACACACACACACACACACAUUUGUAUUGCUUGCAUGCUGCCUGAAUAUUGUUUGGAUUGAUGUUGUUUUUAAUUUUGUAGUUUUGGGUUAAUUAACAAAACAAACAACAUAUUUAAAAAAAAUACAAAACAACAUUGAUUCUGAAAGAACCGAUGUUGUAAUGCACCAUACAACAUUGGUUUUGGCUAAAACCGACCGAUGUUGUAUAGUAGCAAAACAACAUCGGUUUUGGAAGAAACCGAUGUUGUAUGGUGCAAAACAACAUCGGUUCUUCCAAGACCGAUAUUUUUGAAGUUUUUGUAUUUUUCUUUGUAUAUUUCUUUCUAUACGACAUUGGUUUUCUUAAAAACCAAUGUUGAGUAGUGUAUGUCAAUUUCAGUUUUAUAAAAAUUGAUGUUAACAUUGAUACUUUUAAUGUUGGUGGUUUCAACAUUUGUUAAAAGUCGAUGUUGAAAGUAAAAAAUAACUGAUGUUAAAAUCCUAUUAUCUAGUAGUGUUACUGCUACCACCACCAUUGUGAUCACCACUAUGGCCACAAUUGUAGCCAUUAACCUAAUGUCCUUGAUUGCCAACUUCUUCGUGGCUCUCAUAAUAUAAUACUUCACACAGUGACACUUCACUCAACAUCCUUUUUGGUCAGAACCUUCCGUAGGUAGUCCUUUCUAAGACCUCGACAAUCAUCUUUGACACUGCUCAAUUGCUCUCAAGAUCAUUGACUGUCCCCACAAAUCAACAUGAGACUUUUUAGCAUGCUUUUUCCUCACUCACAUGCUUGCACGAAAACUUCCCUGAAGAUCACCUAUCUCAUAACUACUCUAAGUCAAGCAAACUUAACUGUGAAGUUCUUAAGUGAUAAGCUACUAAAAAGUAGAUACAUCUUGUUGGUAUAAGUAGUGUCAAUUAAUACUUUUAAGUUCUUGAGUCUUUUGUUUUAGUUUUUUUUACUCUACUCUAGAGUCAUUCUAAGUUUCUCUUUGAGUCCUAGCUUGCUUUUAUGUGCUUUUCAUUGCUUUAAUUGUUGAAUAAUCCUUGAAAAUUUGUCUUGUUAAAACUCUAUUAGUUUAACUUUCAUUUCAUUUUUUUGGUCUUCGGUUAUUGCUUGUCUCUUUGUUUCCUUGUUUGUGAGUUGCCAUAUAGGGAAUUGGAAAGGAGGAUUGGUGUCAUCCCUUGAAGAAUUUGAGUCAAGAAGCAAGGAAAAAACCACCUUAAGAGCUAUUAGACUAAGAAGCACUCCAAAUUGAGAGAAUCACCAAAGAGAGAACAACCAUCAAAAUUGAGGACCUUUUGGUAAUUUUGUAAUUGAUAAUUUACUUACUUUCAUUGCUUUCAAAUUUUGUAACAAAAAGGCCUUUCAUUGGAAGUAAGUUGGGAGCCUCCAAUAGGUCACCCUACUUCCAUUUGUGUGUAAUAAUUUUAGGCAAUUUUCCCUUAGGAUUAUGAGUGUUUUGUUGGGAACCUUAAAUGUGGUCAUCCAAACACUCUUAGGAUUCGCCUAGUUUACAUUUCUUGCUUACUUUCAUAGCUUAUUUCUUUUACCUUCCAUUGUCAAACAGCCUAGAUAGCUUACCUUUUACCAAUUAUUUUUUACCUUAUCUUUCACACCUCUUUUAGUGUUUAUUUUGGCUAGUUUCAACCAUAGUCUCUUUUACCUUUUGUUUUCAAACCCCCAACAAGAAAGAACCAUAACUUAGGAACCAACAUGAGUCUUCAUUCUUCAUCUAGUGUUAAUGGUGAGAGUUCUACUCCUAAGGACCCCUUGUAUAAGAUAUUAGAUGAGUUGAGAUCCCUUAAGUUGUGGAAAGAAAAACAAGAGAGAAGAAAAAAGGUAAAAAAAGAGUGGAAGAAAUAAGUCAAGAUGAAAGAGAGAAAAUAAGAAAGGAAGAAAGAAGAAAAAUAAUGAAAGAAAUGAAAAGAGAAAAACAUGUCUCUUAUAGUAGUCAUAACUCUUGUAAGAGCCUAAGUGAAGAACUUCGUGACUAUUAUGAAGGAAGGCAUAGGUCACAUCUUAGACCUCACUCCCAUAGGAGAGAAAAUGAAAGAAAGCCUCAAGAGGCUAACAUUAACCUCCCAUACUUCCAUGGGAAGGACAAUGUAGAGGCUUACUUAGAUUGGGAAAUAAGGGUAGAGCAAAAACUUAAAAAAAAGUCUACUUUAAAAUCUUAUGGCUCUCAUUCUUAUCCAAAGAAAGACCAAGGUCUAGGCAUCUUAAGGGUAGCACCUUCUAAGCCCAAAGAUGAUAAGAGGAAGACAAUAGAAAAGCAACCCCCUAAGGCUAGUAUGCAAGAAAAGAUUAGCUUUAUAAAGUGCUUUAAAUGUCUUGGAAGGGGACACAUUACUUAUCAAUACCCCACCAAGAAAACCAUGAUUAUGAGGAGCCAAGACAUUUAUAGUAGCCAAGAUGAGGCUACUCUUUACCUUCUUCGAGUGAAAGUGAAGAAGCAAAAGGGGAAAAAUCUAGUGAAGAAAUCUACCCCCAAGAAGAAGGACAACCUUUAAUGGUUAAGGAGGAGUGUAAGAAGGUAAGUGUCUCCUCUAAAAGGUUAGCUAAGAAGGGAAAGACAUUUUGCAAUAAAGACAAAUAUUAAAGAAACUUUCCCUCUUAGACAACCUCCACAUUUUCUCCUUUGUAAAAAGACACUUGUUAGCAUUGGCACAUCUCUUGGGCUUGAGUUUAUUCCUCAAGUAAAGGAGUUGAUGGAUGAGGGUUUGGUUCGCAAGAGCUUAAAUCCUUGUGCUUUGUUGGUGCCCAAAAUAGGUAUUAUUAGGCACCAAAUCCCUAAAAUAGGUGGUAUGAUGAAUGUUUUGAGUGGUGCAACCCUCUUUUGUAAAAUCACUCGUGCACCCAACAUCUUCAUGAUUUGUGUACAUAGGGACUCAUUAGGUAGGUUUGUUCUUUUUUUUAGUUUCAAUACAAACUUAGGUACUCAUAUGGGACACCUUAGGUUUGAAAUACUUUUUGUUAGGAAUAAUCAACAUGAAAAUAUAGAAAAAUGUAUGUUUUAUUGCAUUACUUUUCUUAAUUUUUUAAAUAGUGAUCAAAGGGUUCCCAUGAACCCUAAGAGAAUAAAGGUCAUUCCUGAGUGGCCCACUCCACCAAGUAUAAGAAAAAUUUGGGGUUUCCAUGACUUAACAAACUUUUACAAAAGGUUUGUCCCAUAUUUUUCUAUACUUGUAGCACCACUCAUUGAGUUGGUGAGGAACCAUGUUCCUUCAUGGGAAGAUGCCCAGGAAAUGGAUUUUCAAAUCUUACCUUACUUCAACAUACCAAACACCACUAAUAUAUAUGUUUUUGUUCUUUUUACAGGAGUUGAGGAAAAAAGCCCAGAGUUUCAAGAAUCUCGAGAUUUGAGAUCAAAUCCUUUUCAAGGGGGAGGGAAUGAUGCAAUCCUACCCUGCAAGGGCAUUGGAUAGAAGACUCCAAGUAGAUUGGGCCAGAGAUGCAAGAGAAGACCCUAAGGUUCUCGAGCCCAUGGGCUAAGUAUGAGCCCACUUAUCUUUGUACAUAUUAUAUUAAGGUUUCAUUAUUUUUGGGCCUUGUAUUUAGGGCUCCAUAAUGUAGGUAUGGUAUCCUAGAAAUGUAGGAUUUUUCAGCCCUUGUAUUUUAGGGCACCUAGACUAGUUUUUGUAUUAGGGGUAGUUUUGUAAUUUCACAUGCAUUAAGUGAAUAUUUGAUGUGUGUGUUGGAAAAUAAAUUUAAUUGAAUUGGGAGAAGCCCAAUCCAAUUAAAUUUUAGAGGGGAAGGUGAGCAUUUGCUUACUACACCCCAUUGCCACAUCAUAUAGUCACACUUUGUGCAUGUCCUUCAUGCUUUACAUGCCUCAUGACACCUACGCACACUUAGUGAAGAAUCUUGGACUUGAUCUUGGAUUAGUAGGCUGAACCAUAACUAAAAGUCACUAAUCAUAAUUAGUAAAAUUUUGGCUCCAAAAUUUGGCUCCACAAAUUCAAUUUCAAAUCCAAGUGAAAUUUGAAUAGAAAUUCAAAUUUCCCUCCAAUUUUGUGUGACACUUAGGCUAUAAAUAGAGGUCAUGUGUGUGCAAUUUUUUUCAACUUUGAUCAUUUGAAAAUUAAACUUCAGAUUUCAGAGCUCUUUUAGAGCACAAAAUUUCGUCCUUUUCUCUUCCUCUCCCUCCAUUCAUCUCUUUCUUCCUCCAAGCUCUUAUCCAUGACCUCUUAUGGUGAUGAACUUCUUCUAGACUCAUCUUCUCCUUGAAGUGGCGUCUCCUCUCUCUCUUCCUUCUCCAUUUCACUGCCAUUCAUCUUCCAAGAAGCAAAUGAAUCUAUUGAUGAAGAAGAUCCUAGGCCUACAAACUCCAAUGGAGCUUACAUCACUGUGGGUCUUUCAACUUGGUUAUUUUAGGAGGCUAAUUUGGCUACUUGGCAAGUCAAUUGAAUACUCAAAGCGAUUAAAAUGCUUGUUGUGAAGUUAUAAUCUUGCUUUUAUUAAAAGGAGGUAUUUGACUAUUAGACUAGUCGAAUACCCUUUCAGUACAGUAGAUAAUCACAAAGUUUUCCAAGUGUAUUUAUAAUUCCUAUUUUUCUUAAAACCAUAAUGUGAUCAAAAGUGGGGCUACCCACUGCCAAGUAAAAUUGAAGGCAUCCUUCUCAACCAACCAUUGAUUGUGACAUUGAGAAUUCAGUAGGACUUAUUGAUUGUCAAACAUGAUACAAAACAGAACACAUUAAAAGGAAAUGAUUUGUUGAUUCAAAAACAUUAUAGAAACAUAGCAUUUAAGAGUUUUCUUUUGGUGAGAUUCCUCUCUUGAGAAGAUUAUAUUUUCUGGGGAGUUUAUUAAGAACCACCUUUUGAGAAGCAGAGGAAGUGUAUAUAGAUUGUCAAACAAUAUACUAACUUCUGAAGAGCCUUGUUGUUGAAGCUUUUAAUUUGUAUGCUGGCUUUAUUGUGUAAGACAUAUAUGGAUGCAUCUAUCUUCUAAAGCUCGGGUCUGAUUGAUCUUCACAUACUAAUGCACUGUUAAUUAUAAAACAAAUCAAAGUGUUUACUAAAUCCUUUUCUCAUUCCAGCAAGUUUCAAUGCUAAAAUAGAUUCCACUUCCAAGCACCAUUUUUUCCAUGCACUGGCCACUUCAUUGACUUUUGCCUCCUCGGUUGUACAGAUGAGAAACAUGUCAAAAAGAUCUUUUGAACCUAGCUUCUACCAAUUUAUCAACUAUAAUAGUAGGUACCACACUCCUAUUUCCUAUUUUGAUGGCUACUUCCUCUUUAAACCAUUUUUUCUCGCACUCUCACCAUUCUGACGCCAUAGUUUCCUCUUUAUUUAACUCCCACUUUACAUAUUUUUUGAGACUAUAAUCAUGUUCAAUAAAACCUAUCCCUGGACUACUAAGUUUUAUUUUUAAUUCUCCAUAGGAGCUAAUUUAGUCGAAUAAUUCAAAGUCUCUCACCCUUAAUCCUCCCUCUUUUAAUUUCACUAGCGUACUCUUUCUCUUUUGACCCAAACCACUUCUGAUGAAUCCUCAUAAUUACUCCAACAAAUUUAUAAUAUGAAUUAUAAAAAAUAUUACACCACCAUUCCAACAUAAACGUCGUCCUAGUUUAUUUUACAGAAUAAAAAAAAUAAUAAGUAUAUAAAAGAGAAUAAUAAAUUUAUAAAACUAACUUUAUUAUAUAGAUAAAAAAGAAUAAUAUUAAUAUUAUAUUCAAAAACUAAAAUAACAUUUAUUACGAGCAUGAUGAAAAAAAGUAAUUAAUAUUACAUUAAAAAUUAAAUGGGAUAAGAAUAAUUUGUUUUUACUAAAUGCUGCACUUAUUUUAGGACAAAUGUAGUAUUAUUACAUCCGUCUCUAUAUAUAAGAUUUUUUCAAUUAAUUUACGUGUUUAAAAAAGUAGUUAAUUUAAUUAAGUACAUUAAAUUUAUUAAUAAUUUAUACUAUUUUUCAAAAUUAUCAUUAAUUUCUCUUUUCACUUAAUUAUUUCUCACCUAAUUAAUUAAUGUGAUUUCUUCUAUUCUCACAUUCUAAUAAGAGAGAAAGUUCGUAUAGGAAUGAAAUAGGUAAUUAAUGCACUAAACAAUUAAAAGAAAGUUUUAUAAAAAUGAAUAAAUAAUAAAAUAAAAUGUAUCUUAUAUAUGGAAACAAAGAUAGUAUUUCUAACUAACGAGACUAUUGUUUUGCUUUUCUUUUAGAGGGUAUUUUAGGAUAUUAAUUAAUAAACUAAAAAGAAAAAUAAUUAUUGUGUAAAUCAUAAGAAAAUAAAAAAAAAUUAUAAAUAAUAUAAUUUUUAUGUUUUCCAAUAAAAAUAUUUUAUUUUAAAUUCUUUAACCAAGGUAUUUGCCGCAAUUGUUAGACUUUGCUCUUUUUAAUUGUCGUAUGAGAGGUGGAGGAUGCAUGCACUUUAGCGAUUCUCCAUCCUGGAACUCAAUCCUCACGUGUAAUUUGCAAGCGUUGGCGGUGUGGUCAUUCCCAAGGAAUAUCUGUUCUCGUUAACUUUGCACUUUUUGGCCCUUAAUCAUACUGUACCUCCAAGAUCAAAAUCGUAAUUAAACAUUUAUGCAAAUUUUAUAUAUAUAAAAAAUCUAAUAAGUAUUUUUAAAAUAUUGGUUAAAUAAUUGAAAGAAAAAUAUUUUUAUUGAGAUAAGUAAAAUUAUACUGUUAGAUGACUUUUUUAACUCUUUUAUAAUUUUCAUAAUAAAUAUUUUUUCUUUUAAAUAUCUUAACUCAUUGACUAACAAGAAAAUAAAAAAAAAUAAAAAAUUUACCCACAUCAAAGUGAUGGAAUCAUAAUAUAAGUGUAAAUGUGAUCUCGUGACCUUCCAAAAUUGUAUGUAUUUUUUAAUAUUUAAUUUUUUAUAUUAAAACUCUAGCUUUUAGUGAAUCAGUGCAAAACUUAUUAUGAUCAUGUAGGAACUGUAGACGACCUCAAAAGAAAAAAAAUGAAGUAACUGUAGACUACAUAUAUUAAUUAAAUUUGUUAUCAUGUAUGUGUUAGGUUAGGGAUGACAUAUAGUAACUGUAGACUACAUUGUCCCGAUUCUCAUUAAGGAAUAUUAUUUUACUCUUGUGCCUGUUCUUUGAUUCCAAGCAAAGACCCUGAAAUUAUUCAAAACAAAAAAAAAAAAUCUUACUCUAGUCCUUUAAAUUAUAUAAAUUAGAUAUUUUAAUCCUGAAAAUUUUAGAAAUAUUUAAUUAACUUAUUAAUAUACUUCCUUUAUGGGCUGAUAAAAAACUUAUUAUUAUUAUUUUUUUAAAAAGUCAUUAUUAUAAUCUUUUACGACUGUAUUUUUAUUCGUUUUGAAUAAAAAAGGAAAAAAAUUAAAUGGCAUUUUAUAAAAAUAAAGAGUGAAAAAAAUCAGAGAUUAAAAUAUAACUCAUACAAUUUUAAUGAUUUAGAUAAUAAUAAAAUAAUAAAAGGGCUAAAGAAUAAUCAUAUGACCCAUAUAUAUAUGAGAGAGAGAGAGAGAGAGAGAGAGAGAGAGAGAGAGAGAGAGAGAGAGAGAGAGAGAGAGAGAGAUUGUAGAAGUAGUUUAAGUAAAAUUUAUGUAAAUCCUUUCAAGUAUCCUCUUAUGUAUACAAUUAUUAAAAGUAAUUAUGUAAUUUUUAUGUAUAAAGAUUCUGCCGAAAAAAUACUUUUUUCUUCUCAAUCUCUCCAUCGAUCUAAAUAUGUUUCAUAGAGUUCUAAAAUCCUUGUUUUCAGAGGAGGAAAAAAAAAUGAAUUUGAAGUUUCAAUCAAAAAAAUUUAAAGUAUUUCUAAAUUAAGGGAAAAAAUUGUCAUCUAUGUAUUAGAUAAUUAAUUAAGGGGAUUUAGAAUUAUUUUUUCAUAUUUAAUUUACUUAGUGUUAUUAAAUAACAUUGAGUCUUGUGGAUAUAAAACAUAAUUAGAAGGAGAAACCUUAAAAAAAAUAGUUAAAUAGGUUCUCUAAAAUUAUCAUCAGUAAAAUUAAUAGAUACUCGACAUCAAUAUUAUGAAGAUAAAAAAAUAUAUUGAUAAAAAAAUGUUGACUUCGUCUCAUUUUUAUGUCUAAUUUUUUAAGUGUUAGCUUUCCAAAAAAAGUACUCUUAUUUAUUAAUAUUGUUUUAAAAUUUAAAAUAAUACCAAUUAUAUAUUAUUGAUAAUUAUAUAUAUCUUUAUCUUUAUGAUUUAUUUUAUAAAUUUAUCAUAAAAUUAAAUAGAAAGAAAUAAAAUAAAAAGUAACAAAAUUAAUCAAUAAAAUAAAUAAAAGGCACAACAGAAAACUAGAUAACAAUUUUAAGAAACACAAGAACAUUAGUUAUAAUUUUUAUUUUCUGUGUCACAACCUUAAACAACAUUUAUAAAAUAGAAGUAGUAAUUUUAUAAGGAUAAAAAUUGAAGUGAUUAGGUACUAGUAAAACUAUUUUUAGUUAAAAUGCAAAUUUUAGUUAGAUUAUUCGCAUCAAGUUUUAAUACUAAACUAUUAGUGAUUAAUGAGACAAUUCUGAGUUUAUUUGAUAAACAAUAUCAUAAAUAUGCAAAGAUUAACUACUUAAUUGAAAGACUAUAUAAAUAUCUAUUUAUUGAAAGUUGUACAAAUAAUAGUAAGGGUUAAAAUUUAAUGUGAAGGUGGAAUAUCUUACAUUAAGAAUAAAUAGAUAAGUUGAGUAACACAUAAGUGAGAAAGACUCAUAAACCUCAUGUCUUAUGAUUUUAUGUUAAAGGUGAUGUCAAAUUCACUUAUUAUCUACUUGUAUAUUUGGUCUAUUAGUGAAGAUUUUUCCAGUGUUUUAUUCCCCUAGAUUAGAAUCAAUGGUUUGAUCUGGUGAACUUGUGCAAAUAUAAUGGAAUUAGUGGUGGAUUCACGCAUGAAAAUUUUUUAUAUCGAAAGUCUUCUUAAUGGUGGGUAUAGGAAUCGAAAAGUUCUCACAAUAACAUCGAAAUUGGACUAUAUGUCUCGCUAAUGUGAAUUAAUGGCGAUGCAAGUAUCUAGAAUGUCAUCAUUGAAUACUUGCAGAUUAAAAAAAAGUUUCCGCUUGAGGGAGAACUACCAUAUGUAAAAAAUAUUCAUACUUAAGAAGAAUUGUUAGAAUUCAAAUGUGAAGGUGAAAUCAAACAUUAGGUAAAAAUAAAUAAGUUGAGUAACAUAUAUGUGAGGAAGACUCACAAAUGUGAUUCCUUUAAGUUUGGAGAUGAAGAUAAUGUCAAAUUUACUUGUGUGUGGUGUGCUUGUAAUCCAUUGUUAAAAAUCUCUAUGAUGUUUUAUCUCUUUUAGAUUCCCAAUAGUCUUUAUUCAUAAUUUUAUAGUUUUUAAUAAAAUUUAAUUAAUAUUUGUUGUAAGAAUGGUGGAUCUAAGCUCUGAUACGGUGGUUCGAGGCUCCCAUGCGUUGUGUAAGAGAUUUGGAGUGGUAGAUUUGAGUAGAUCUUAGAAGAGUGUAGGGAGAAGAAGCCAAGUUUGGGUUUGUAUCCAGAAUAUUAAGUUAGCCCUGUAGUUUGUUGUUGAUAGGCUUAUAUAGUCAUUUUCAGCGGGAAAAUCCAUUAGAUGCCCAUGGCCACGUGUAUCCAGUGGUUGUCAACGGGCAAAGUUUAUCCCUUGUCAGUUGCUAAGCGUCGGCGAUGCUCAAAGAUCUCGACGGAGGCAUCUCAAGAUACCUAGGUCUGAGAUACAUCUCUAACAAUAUUAGAGAAUGUAUUAAAAAAAAUAUUAUUAAUAUUUUUGUGUGUGAGUGUGUGCAUUAUCUGCAUUCUUUCGUUUCUCAUAAUAUCAUCCCUAACUAUUUGGAUUUUAACAUUACCGACAUAAUAGCAUGUAGAAAAUGCCCAGCCGACACCUAAAAGGCAUGAAGAAAUAUGAUGUGGUUGAGCAAUGCUUUGUCGUUGAUUGAUUUGUCAAAUGUUUAUUUGUUUCCUUUAGAAAAUAAGUGUGCAAUAAUACAAUAACGAAAGGGACCUCAAUACAAUAUAACUUGUUUCUCAGAAAAAGAAAAUAAUAUCUAUAUACAUCGGAGAGGAAUCAAAUUAUUAGUCAUUGCUUUAAUUAUAAUUCAAAGUUUCUAUAAUAAAACUACUAAACUGGGUCACGUGACUGUAAAACACAUAUAGCUUAUUUUUACUUAAGAGGAAAACACAUAUAUACCUCCUCAAUAAAACUCUGGAUCUCUAAGAUCGUCAUCCUUAAUCACACAGCUCAAUAUUGUGGUCACGAGUUAUAUAGCUAAUCACGUGAGGCACCUUUGCAUACUUGAUAACGAAAAAUUGCUUGAUGGAUUAUUCGUUGGUGAGGAAACUAUUUUAUACCAUGAUGAAUUUCGUUUGAAUAUCUGAAUGGGCUAGAAGCAAAUCAUUGAGGUAUAGAGAUCGUAUGUGUUAUAUUCGAUCGCUUCUAUGUAAAAUUUUAAGUAUAUAUCAAAUUGCCUUGAUUUUGUCUAGUUUUUGUGCUACGUACCCUGCUAUCUAGGAAUAGUGGCCUUGAUUGCUGUAAAUGAGGUUGUGAUGAUGGGGGUUUUAAUCUGAAAUUGCCGCAUGAGAUAAAAAUAUUGGAUUAUUGUUGAGUAGAGAAAUUUAUUGAGGCUAUGCGAGGAAGAAAGGAAAUUGCUUGAAAUUUUGAAUAGAAGAGAGAAGCUAAUAUAGAGAAUGAGGAUUUGAGUCUAAUUCAAUUUCAAAAAUUAAUUAGUUUAUAGGGUGAAAGUUAUCUUUAUUUAUAUAAUCUAUCUUGACCUCUAGCCGAUGUGAAACUUGAGAUUUGUUUUUCAAAUACUCCCCCUCAUGUCCAACACUUUUGGGCUUAGUGUGUGGAUAACAUGAUGGGUGACUCGUUUAAUGGAUUUAAGAUAUGUUUUAAUACCAUUUUAAAAUGUGGGUAUGAGCUUAUCUAAAACCCAAAUACUAGUUCAUGGGCUGAGGGUUACUCCCAUUUAUAUAGUCUAUCUUGACACUAUCUCUAGUCAAUGUGGGACUUGGGUUUUCCAAUAUUAAUUACUCUAAAUCACAAUCAAUAAUCUUCGAAGAAUUUCCUUUAUUCUAAAAUAAACUAUGUUUAAGACCUUUUACAUAUAUUAAGGAAAAUAAGGCUGAAACAUGUGUUUUUGUCCUUAUAAAAUUGGUAAAGUUUCAUUUUUGUCCCUUCGAAAAAUUUCGUUCUUGUUGCGUUUUCAUCAUUCGAAGUAAGGGGGAGUAAGAACUUUUGCUCGUAAGUAUGGCAUUGGCCUACAUGACGAAGCAUAACCAUGCUUCACGUAAGCAGGGACAUUCGAAAGGGAAACAAAAUAGAGUAAGACUUUAGGAAUUAUAGUCUAUCUUGACACUACCUCUAGUCAAUGUGGAACUUGAGUUUUCCAAUAUUAAUUACUAUAAAUCACAAUCAAUAAUCCUCAAAUUUCCUUUAUUCUAAAAUAAACUAUGUUUAAGACCUUUUACAUAUAUUAAGGAAAAUAAGGCUGAAACGUGGUUUUGUACUUAUAAAAUUGGUAAAGUUUCAUUUUUGUCCCUUCAAAAAAUUUUGUUCUUGUUGUGUUUUCGUCAUUCGAAGUAAGGGGGAGUAAAAACUCUUGCUCGUAAGUAUGGCAUUGGCCUACAUGACAAAGCAUAACCAUGCUUCACGUUAGCAGGGACAUUCGAAAGGGAAACAAAAUAGAGUAAGAUUUUAGGAAUUAUAAUCUAUCUUGACACUACCUCUAGUCAAUGUGGGACUUGGGUUUUCCAAUAUUAAUUACUAUAAAUCACAAUCAAUAAUCCUCGAAGAAUUUCCUUUAUUCUAAAAUAAACUAUGUUUAAGACCUUUUACAUAUAUUAAGGAAAAUAAGGCUGAAACAUAUGUUUUUGUCCUUAUAAAAUUGGUAAAGUUUCAUUUUUGUUCCUUCGAAAAAUUUCAAUCUUGUUGUGUUUUGGUCAUUUGAAGUAAGGGGGAGUAAGAACUCUUGCUCAUAAGUAUGGCAUUGGCCUACAUGACGAAGCAUAACCAUGCUUCACGUAAGUAGGGACAUUCAAAAGGGAAACAAAAUAGAGUAAGAUUUUAGGAAUUAUGCACGACCAUGCUUCACAACAAAAUUACCACUUUGGAAUGUAUGCAUAGAAACUUGAUGUGUAAAAUAUAUUUGCACAAGGGCAAGCAUACCCUAUACAAAAGUUAUAGUGGGCCGAAGUCCAAAUAUCAUACCCAAAGGAUCAGUUGUAUUCCCAUAAUAAUUUAAUUUUCAAUAAACUAAACAAUUUGGGCUUUCAUCGAUAGUUGAAAGAUUUGUGUUUAAUUACUUUGUAGAAAAUACUACUCUAGAAUAAUGAGAGAGACAGUGCAAUGAAAUUAUAGAUGAAAAGGCUUGGGGCUAUGAUUAAAUCUCACAAAAUGAAUUUCUCUAAUUCUACAUUAGUAAAUUUCUCAAUGUUUAUCAAUUACUGACUUCUCUUAAGGUUGCUCAAAGGUUUUUGCCAAACACUUUCAACAAUCUUUCUCUUAAUUUAGUUCUAAUUUGGUAAUUAAGAAAUAAAUUACGACAAAGCAUAAACACAUAAAGAAUGACAAUCAGAAAUACCUAAAAUAUGUUUGGUCAAUCAUUAUUCUAAAGGAUUCAGUUGUUCUAUAAUUGCUAUUCAUAUGAAGUCGAUCACAAACACACAAAUAAAUAAAAUAUAGAUUGACCAAGUCUAAUGAGAAAUUAAGCACAAUAUAACAACAUAAUUGACUGAAUAAAAAUAUUUUAAAUUAAGUAAAAUUGGGGUUCAUCUGCAGAUUACAUCAUAACCCUAGAAAAUAAGGGUUUAGCCAGCCAUAGGCACAAACAAGCAAAACAAUAACCUCAUAUGCAUGAGAAAGAUAAGGGAGUAAGAAAAAUUACAAUUAGAAGCCCCAACAAUCUUCUCGUGUUCUUCCCAAUUCAAAAGAGAUCUCACACUAUGCCUAGGUCACUCACAAAGUCAAUUUUUGUACACAACGUAAAAUAUAUCUACUUUCAUUUUCCUCUUUCUAUUUAUAGUACAAAAUUAGAGUGUUUGUCAUGGAAGGAAGCACGAUCAUUCUCGAAAAAUUAAAGCCUGAUUGUGAAAUUUGGAGAAUAAUCAUCCUAGAUGAGAACAAUUGUUCUUGAAAAAUUUGAUGUUGUUUCCCAAUUUUUGAAAAUCAGAGCAUGGGUGGGCUGGAAGGAACAUAGAUGUGCUGGAAUAAGCACGACCAUUUUCCCAAAUAGCAUGAUCGUGCUCUUCGUCAUGGUUUUUGUUUAACUUUUUUUCAGCCUUUUUUUUGUGAGUUUUCCUCUUUUUUCAACUUUUGGUCUGUUUGCGUCACACUUUAAAGAAGUCCAUGAGUUUUGCCAACAAAUUAAGUAUAAAAAAAACAUGCAAAACACAAGGCUAAAAUUCUUAUCAAAUAUCACACAAAUACCAGUUUAUCAACCUCCCCACACUUGAACAUUGAUUGUCCUCAAGCAAUUAUUCUGAUUUAAAUAUUAAAAUUGGUUUCUCUUAAUCCAAGAAAUCAUUCCAUAGAGCCACAAAAUUUGUUUUUUAUUAACACUCAACAUAAAAUAGAAUAGACAGACAACAUAGAGUUCAAGAUUUUUUCCCUAGGAACUUCAAUAGAUUUUCAAUUCUAGUUGGAUGUCAAGUUUCAAAGAGCAACAUAUCACUUUUCUCACCACAAUCAUAAGCACUCAGAUCACACUUAAGAAGUGUGAAACUCCAUCUAUCUGUCAAUCAACUUGAUAACUGCAAAAUUUGAGUUAAUUUGAUAAUCAAUUUUGGCCAUGAAUGAUUGAAAUUUCUUCACUUUACUGUUGUUUUUAAUGAAAUAAUAAAGAAAUUAAUAUCUUCAGAAUUUUUUAUUGGCAUAAUUCAAAAGAAAAAGAUUUCAAGUGCUUUAUAGGAAAAUUGAUACCAAAACUAGAAGAAAGAGCCUUGAAGAAAAGUUGGAAGAAGUAGAUAGCUCGCUUAGUGCAUAAUCCAGGCUUAGUGUGCACUCGUGCUUAGCGGGCAACCUCAAGCUUAGUGCGAAGAAAGCCCAAAACGAAGCUCAAAGGCGCGCUUAGUGUGAAAGCCCGCGCUAAGCACAAAGUCAGCAUGAAAAGUAAGCUACCUGGAGCCUAUAUAAGGAGGAAGAAGCUGAAGGGAAAAACACACCAAGUCUCAAAGGUUUCUAUUGAAGAUAUCCAAACCCUGAGCCUAUCCUUUAUGGGAAACCCUCCAUCUCUAGCCAUUCCUCUCUUUCUUGCUUUUAGUCAUUCAACCCCUUCUUCCAUCCACAUUAGCCCCUAAAGUGUAAAGUCUCUCAUGGCUAUGAGAGGCUAAACCUCCACUGUUGGGAGCCUAGCAAUCAAUGCCCUUGUAAUGCAACUAUUCUCAUUAUCUAUUAAUGUAAUUUUAGUUUCUAUUGUCUCUUUUCUGCUCUUCAUCUUUAUUGUGUGGUCUAGCCAUCCAUGCAUUAGUUUUUAGGGGUUAUACAUUGGGAAAUGGUAAUUUCUAAAGAACUAGAAAAGGGGAUCUAAACAAAUCAUUGUUAGGGAUAAAGUGACUUUGUUUUGCCUCUGCAUACAUCUCCAUGCUUAAUGUAAUUUACUAUUCAAUCUUUACAAAGGGAUUUGGGAGAGAGAAUAGAUAUAUUAGGCUCUUCAUUGUGAGGGAUCAGGGUUGAGUGUCUUAGUAGAUGUGGGUCGAAAUUGGGAAAACAUUUAAUAGAAAAAAACAUUAAUAUUGCAUCAAGGGUAGUUAGGCAUGCUAGGCCCCAACAUAUUUAAAUAUUGAAGUUAUCUCUUGCAUUAAUCUUGUUUAUUUUAUUAUUCUUGUCUUUUUAAUUUCAAAUUGUUUCCUUCUUCUUAUCUCUAUUAUAAUCUCUUGCUUGCAAAUUGGGUAUUCAUCAACGCAAGUACAAACAAAGUUCAUGUGGAUUCGACACUCGGUCUUCCGUUUAAACUUUACUACUUGUGAAAAAUUGGUACACUUGCCAACAAGUUUACACAAGUAAACUCAAACAACAAUCUAGAAAGCAUGAAAGUGAGGCAUCACAAGGUGUAAUAGGGUCAGACUGCAAUGUAAGGCAGGUAAAGAACAAAUAUGAUAACAAAAAGGCUCAUCAAUACCCCAACUUAGACUUAGUGACACAAACUGAGGAUACAAAAGCUUUAUCUAAUUAGCAAUAUCCCAAAAUCAUUUCCUUUUGAUCCCUUACUUCUUCUAUUUAUUUUCCUUAUGUGACUUUUUUUAAGAAGAAGAAGAAGAAAUUAAAAAAAAAAUCACAUUGGCAUAAAAAUAACAUAUGUACCGCAAUAAUACAAGUUGUGGGAUGGUUCAAAUAGUGCACAGUGAAAACCCCUCCCUACACUUAAGAGAUACAGUGUCCCUAAUGCAAAAAGCAUAAAACUAAAGCAUAACUUGAAAAUAGAGAAGGAACAAAGAAAACAAGAUUUAUUAAAAAUACAAAGAUUUUAAAUUUUCUAUGCCUACUAAUGCAAAAUAAAAAGGUAGAAAAAAAAGGAUAUGCCUAGCUCAAAGGCCAGUGCAUUCACAGGUUUCCUCCUAUAUAGCGCUUGUUUUUUGUCCCGAGCCUGAUGGUUGAAAGAGAGAUAAAUCAACCACCCUUGAAUAAGGUAAUGUCCUUUUCUCACAACAAUCCCUUAGCAAGGUCAUCCACUCUAUAGCUAAGUGCUUGAGUGGUGGUUCCAUCUCUAUCCCUCAUGCCACUUCAAAGGUUUUUUGGAAUGAUGUUUUCUUCCAAAGUGUUUUCCUUCCCACACUUGGCUGAUGCCUAGCCACAAUGACUUCCAUGUUUUUAGUGACUAGCACAAAAUUGCAGGAAAGUAAAGAGAAAGAUCUUUUUGCUUAAUCAAACACCUUAAACACUUCCUUCUCAUCACCUAGCCUCGAUGUCAAUUUCCCUUCUUGGACAUCAAUCAAGGCCCCUCCUAUGUUAACGAAAGGUCAUCCCAAAAUAAUUGGGAUUUCUUCAUCCUCCUCUAUAUCAAAAAUUACAAAGUCAGCUAGGAAAAUGAAUUUGUCAACCUUGACCAAUAAGUUUUGCAUUACCCGUUGUGGGUAAGUGAGGGUCCUAUCUACAAGUUGAAGAUAGACUUUAGUAGGUAGAAGUUCUUGCAACCCCAACUUCUUAAACACAAAAUAAGGCAUUAAAUUGAUACUAACACCUAAAUCACACAAUGUUUUAUCAAACAACAAGUUUCCUAUAGUAUAGGGAAUUGAAAAACUUCAUGGGUCCUUAAGCUUAGGAGUCAAUUUCUCUAAAACAACAACAUGACAUUCCUCAUUGAGACCAAUUAAUGCAAAGUCUUCCAAUUUCUUUUUGUUUUAAAUGAUUUCCUUUAAAAACUUGGAAUACUUUGGCAUUUCAGCAAUUGCCUUAGUGAAAGGAAUGUUAACAUGUAAUUUCUUAAACAUUUCAACAAACUUAGAAAGCCACUUAUCCUUCUGCUCAUUUCUCAUUCUCUAAGGAAAAGGAACACUUACCUGAGGAGGUGCCAAUACCCUUUUUUCACCCACUUUUUCUAUCUUGUGACUUUCUUCAGUGAGAGCCUCUUUUUCUAGUGUUGGAGUGGCUUUCUUUGUCUUCUUCGACUCUACCAUAGGCUUUCCGAUGCUGGUGCUCACUACAUUAAACUCCUCAUUCUUAGGAUUAACCUCUAUUUGAGAAGGAAGAGUCUUAGGAGCUCUUUGGGACAAAAGAUCUUUCAUGGUGGAGAGUUGAGUCUCCAUGAACUUCAUGUGCUCAUCAUUCUUGGCUAUAUAUUGGAUCAUAACAUCUUCCAAUGAUGGCCUUCUCUCUUCCUUCCUUGGCCUCUAAUUCUACAUAUGUGGUGGCAUAUACACAUUAUGAUUUUGCUCUGCCUAGGACCUUGGUUGAAUGUAUUAAAGUAAGGAUCAUAUCCUAUACUCUGUACACCAGCAUAGUUUACUUCCUCCAUGGCAUGUGCAAGUGCAUUACUCACUGGGCAUUCUCUUCCUCUAUGAGCCUCCCACACUUACCACAAGAGGGAGGUGAUAGUGUGGAAGCUAGAACCUAUGUCUGCACUCUCAUCAUAGUCUCCAUUUACUUGGUCGGCAUUUGGAGUUUUUGUUCAAUGCCUGAGCUGGAUGCUUCUACCUCCACUUGUUUCACCAAUCUCCUCACAAUCCUCUUAUCCCUAUAAUUUUUGUAGGGAUUAGAAGGCAUAUCUUCAAUGAUCUUGGUAGCUUCAACAUGAGAUUUCCUCCAUAAGCCGCAUCGACGCUUGUCCUAUUAUGAGAUGGCACUCCUCCAUAGAAAAUAUGUACAAAUUUUUGUGGGUUGAAACCAUGAUGUGGGCAACUCCGGAGCAACUCCCGAAACCUCUCAGAUGCUUGAGCCAAACUCUCCUGCUCCUUCGACACAAAAUUCUCAAUAUCUCUCUGUACUUAAUCAAUCUUAACUAUAAAGAAAUAUUUCUGAAGCAACUUAUUAGCGCAUUUCUCCUAAGUCGUGGUAUUGUGCUCGGGUAAAGCACAAAGGAAAUCCCAAGCUUUCCCAUUGAGUGAAACUGGAAAAACAUUCAAUCUCACAUACUUUCUAGGCACGUUUUGCACAUUGAUGGUGCUAGUCAACCUCAGGAAUCCUUUCAGGUGUGCCAUGAGUUUUUCAGAGGUUGCCCUAUGGAACUAAUUGCUUUCUAUCAUCAUCAAGAAACCAUAUCUCAUGUCAAAAUUGACUCUUGCCUCCAAAGUUGGCAACAAUAUGUUGUUAGCUACCCUCACUUGAGGAGCGAGAUAAUCUAACGGGGUCUACUCCACCUGCUCAUUGACAACAACCUCAUUCCCAUUACCUCAUCCAUUUCCAGCCAUGUCUCGUCUCCUCUGUUUAGCUCUAUUCUUGCAAGCAACUUUCUCGAUCUCAAGUUCGUGCAAGAGUUCAGGCCUCAGGGACUUAGUUAGCAUGCACUGAAAAUAAAAGAAAAGGAAUUAAACGCAAUUGAAAAUAGAAAAAAAUAAAAAUAACACAAAAUUAAAAAUUUUAGGAUUUAAAUAAUUGAAAUAAAGAUAAAUUAAAAUAGAAAAUUAAAGAAAAAUAAAAGCUAUAAACACUAUGAAUAGAAAUUUCUUGGUUCACACAAAAUGAAUUAUCCAAGAACUCUGCAAAUAGUCCCUGAUAAUGGCACUAGAAACUUGAUGCAUAAAAUAUGUUCACACUAGGGCAAGGGUAGCCUAUACAGUAGUUAGAAUGGACUUAAGUUCAGAUAUCGUACCCAAAGGACUAGUUGUGUUUCCAUAACUAUUCAAUUUGCAAUAAACUAAGCAUUUUCAAUUUUUUUUAUCAAAAGUUGAAAGACUUAUGUUCAAUUACUUUGUAGAAAACAAUACUCUAGAGUGAUCAAAGACAAUGCAAUGAAAUUAUCAAAUAAGAAGGCGUAGGGCUAUGACUAAAUCUCACAAUUGAAUCCCCUCAAUUCUACGUUAAUUGGCCACACACUUUUAACAAUCUUUCUCUUAAUUUAGUUCUAAUUUGGUCAAUUAAAAAGUAAAUUACGAGAAAACAUAAGUGUAUAGAGAAUGAAAAUAAAAAAUCCCUAAAAUAUGUUUGGUCAAUCAUUAUUCUAAAUGACUUAGUUGUUGUAUAAUUUUAUUAUUCAUACGAAGCUGAUCACAAAUGCACAAUAACUAGAAUAUAGAUUGAUCAAGUCUAAUGAGAAAUUAAGCAUGAUAGAACAAUAUAAUUGACUAAAUAAAAAUAAUUUUAAAUUAACUAAAACUGGGGUUCAUCUAUAGAUUACAUCAUAACCCUAGAAAAGAGGGGUUUAGUCGGCCAUAGGCACAGACAAGCAAAACAAUAACCUCAUAUACACGGGAAAGAUAAGGGAGUACGAAAAAUUACAAUUAGAAGCCCCCAUAAUCUUCCUCACAUUCUUCCCAAUCCAAAAGAGAUCCUACACUAUGCCUAGGUCACUCACAUAGUGAAUUUUCUUACACAACAUAAAAGAUAUCUACUUUCAUUUUCCCAUUUCUAUUUAUAGUACAAAAUUAGAGUGCCUGACAUGGAAGGGAGCACGAUCAUGCUGAAUAGAGGCACAACCAUUCUUGAAAAAUAGCAACUCUGAAAUCCCAAUUGCGGAAUUCGGAGAACAACCAUCUUAAAGGCGUUAUGGGGGUGUUCUAGAUGAACAUGACUGCUCUUGAAAAAUUUGACAUUGUUUCCCAAUUCUUGAAAAAUCAGAGCAUGGGUGUGCUAGAAGUACCAUGGUGUACUGGAAUGAUCACAUUCGUUCUCCCAAAGAGCAUGGCAGUGCUCUUCAUCAAAGUUUUUGCAAGUUUUCCUUGUUUUCAAGUUUUUCCCUAUUUGCAAUACACUUUAAAGAAUUCCAUGAGUUUUGCCAACAAGUUAAGUCAAAAACAUGCAAAAACAAGGCUAAACCUCAUAAAAUAUCUCACAAAUACUGGUUUAUUAGUCAUGCAUAUUUAUGCAAGACCAUGAUUUGAGAUGAGAACAACGCUUUAGAGGAAAUGAAGCAUGGUUGUGCUUCAUGUUGCAUGGUCGUGCAUUCCCUAAAGAGUGUGAAUCAAACUUAGGUGCCUUCAUAAGAAAUGCAAUCCUAGUAGCUAACCGAUAACUUUUGUCUCACCCAAAAAUAAGGUCCUUAGCUCAAGAUAUCAUAAUGUUUAUGAGCAAAUUUUGAGCUAUAAAAAUUACAUAGCUAUUUUAUGUUCCUUCUAAAUUUUAGUAUAGUAAAUUUUCAAACCAAUUUUUGAGGUCAACAUAUAAGUUGUAGUUAACUGUCUUAGCUUUCAAACUAGAUAAGAAUCAAAUUGAUAAAGUUAGUAUAAAUCUAGAAAUCGCCUUUUCAAUCUACAGUAGUCAUAGAUGUGUAACAGGAAAGGAGUGAGAUAACACUCAAAACUUAAGAAUUGUUAUUCUAAUUGGCUGUGAGUGUGACAUGUAUGUGAUAUGCAUGAGAUAAUUGAUUUGACUAUAUGUCAUUGUGAGAUGAAUGACUUAGUCUAUGAGAUUGAAAAAUUAGGCUUGGAUGGUAUCUAUAUAGUGAGUGACCUAAUUAAUCUAUGAGGGGCAAGGAUGCGCUCACUUCUGUGUGAUGGGACGUCUAAAGGGAUUAGUGUUGCAUCGGGAUGUGACAUGCAUCAUUUUCAUAGAGUCUCAAGUUGAUGUGAAAUAGAUAUGAGAUAGAUGGUGGAGGUUAUGACAACUUGAAUCUUAAGGGUUUUAGAGACCUAAUGUGGAAACCCCAUUAGCCCAUGUUAAGCCCAAAGGACUAAGGUCAAAAGUUGGGUAACCCUGCUAGUCAUUGAGUGGAUAUCAUUCUAGUGUAGUGCAAUAUAUAUUGAAGGCACUGACAUCAAUGAAGCAUCUUAUGGGUAGACAUAAAUGUACUAGAUUCAAGAGUUAGAGUUGGCACCACAUGACAUAUGGAAGUUCGGAUUACAUUGCACAUGGCAUGUAUACAAUUUUUAGUGAUUGCUGAUAAGCCUUUAUGUGAUUUUCAAUUGUUAAGGGAGUGUAUUUAUAUAUGUGUAAGAGUAUGCAUGCACUUGUGCUUUACCUAUUGUUAAUGUUAUACUAUAAGCAUGAUGUGAAAACAUAUUCUCACCCCUUGCUUUUGUUGUUCUUUGCUUGUAUGUGUUUAGGUUGAAUGUCAUUUGCAUGUAAUGUACUUCUGAAUAUUGAGUAGGAUGAUGGAGGAGCAACUUAUUUAUUUAUUUAUUUACAGUUGUUAUGUUUUCCUUUCAUAGGAUAGUAAGGUCUAACUAUUGUGACAUCAAGGAAUGGGAACUUCUAUAUUUUUAACUAAUUUUUUUAUAUUGCUUUCAUUUGAGAUGUAUGGCUUUUAAAGUGUCAAAUUUUAUAUAUUAAUUAAUGUUUUUGUUUAUGAAGCAUAUUAAAUUUGGAGUUAAAUUUGAGACAAUGAGAUAUGGACAUUGCUUCCAUAGACCACCUUAAUAGGUGGUCUAUUAUGGAUCAUUAAUGGUGGCCUUUAGAUUGAUCUAAUAUUCAUAGUGUUACGGUGUACCUCUGCAUAAUAGUACUACCUAUUUCUUUAUCCUCAACAACUACUACUUCCCUCUCAAGAGAAGUGCGAAAUGGGAUAUGAGAUUUGAGGGGUUUUAAUUUGUUUAAAUAUAUAAGAAGUGCAAAAUGAGAUUUGAGAUCUCUCAAACUCUUUUUAGAUUUGAGAUAUGAAACCCAUUUUUAUGUGAAGGUGCACUCAUAGGGGUGUGACACGCUGAAGGUGUGUUGCACGAAGGUCACAGUGAAGACAUUAAACUCGUUUCCAGAUUUAAAGAACGCGGAUGUACUCAAUCAGACAAGGUACCUCUCUUUUAAUUAAUUUGGUUAGGGUUUUCUUUAAUUAUCUUUCAAUACUCUGUUCAGCAAUGAGGUACCUCUCUUUCUCUUACUCUCUUGGCUCAUUCUCAAUUUCCACUCUAUACUUUUUUACAUUUUGUUCUGUAGAUUUAUUUGGUUUAGCUAUUGAAUUUUCUUCUUAUUUUUUUUCUAAACAAUUAGACAGGAUGAAUCUUGAGAACCAAUUACAUAUUCUACAAGAGAGAACUAAUAAAGAGGGUGUUAAUUCUAUAGUACAAAAAUUGGUUUUAUUAAUGAUGCCCUUGUAGGUGAAUUGUUUGUUUCAAUUUAUGUAAAAUUCUAUUUUACAUACUUGCAGUGUAGUGUAAUAUUUUUCAAUACUAAAAAUUUGGUUUGUUGUGGGUAUGCUUACUUGUGUGGUACUUUGGUCUUCUAUUUUUCAUUAUUCACCAAUUUUCAGUUAUCCAACUACCUUGGAUUCAGUGUUGUCUUGAAAUUAUCACUAUUAUACUCACAUUGCUACUUUCAUAGUUUAAUUUCAAAUUUGUGAUGGCAUGCUUAUGAUAAUAUAGAAUAUGAAUUUCAGGAGAAUAUUCUGUUGUGAUAAAGGAGAGUUGGAAACCUUCAGGAAUGAAGGGUGUGUUUAUAAUAAAAAAGAAUUCUAUUUUUUAUUUAUUUUUUAAAAUAUGGAAAAAGGAUAUUAAACAUGUUCUAGUUAUUGGUUAUUGCAACUAUUAUGCUCACAACACAGUAUUAUUUUUUUAGUAAAGAACCAAUAUAAUAACAAUGGUGUACAUACUUAACAACUUUUUUUCUUGUUCAUUUGUCCUUGGAAGUUCUUUUAUUGAUAAUUAGAUCUUUAUAGUGUGUUUGGAAAUCUCAUUGGCAUGUGAAAGUUGUAACUAUCAACUUCUAAACCCCAUCUGGGAUAUGGAACCAAAUCUCAUUUCGAUAACUAAAUUGCUUUUAACGCUCUCAUGUAUUCUGCAAUUAGUCACAAAAUGCACCAUCAAAACCAUGAACACAUUGAGAAAGAUGAGUGAUGGGUUCCAGUAUUGUGACUAAUUGCUUUUGAAUCGUAACUUAAGUUUGUAUGGCUACAUGAUUUGGUAUUUCUGAAAAAGAAGCAUAACUUAAUUUUUUGUGCUUCUAAUUAAAAUGUAUUCUUACUUAGGGACUUUUCACUACUACAAUCUACAACACAAACCCAUUUUCUUGUUUCUUUCUUGCAUUAGUGUCUAUCUACUAUAUAGAUGCCUUCAUUCUUGUUACAUAUUUGCAUUUGUAGCACUAGUAGAUAUAAAGUAGACGGAUACUUGUAUAAUUUUGUUGAUGAGCCUAAGAUACUGAUAACUGAAAAAUGGAACGAGGCUAUGAAUUAUCAACUUUAUGACUAAGAGGAGAACCACGUACUUCUAGGUAAUGAGCUGAAAGAGAUUUGUUAUUCAACUUUUGUCACUAUUACACCAGUUUUUGUUGAUUAUAAAUAUGCUAUGCUAUGACUUAAUAGCAAGCCACUUUAUUUUAUAUAUUGUCAUUUUAACUCUUCCCAAAAUUCCAGUAAAGACUAGUGACAUAUCCAAAAUUGUUUGUGUAAGCAUAUAUAUCAUACUUAAAAAUAUACUUUUAAUAGUUUUGUACACUUAUUAGUUUUUAUGCAUUGAAUAAAUAUUUUUUUAGAAGGUGUCGAGGUCUGUUUUGAAUUUAUAGGUUGGGUUCAUUGUGAAACAAAAUAAAUAUUAAAAAAUGCACUUAACUUCAUCCGUUGUGCCUGCAACCGAUGUAGAAAGUACCUUUACAACAUCAAUUUUGAGCAAAACCAAUGAUGUAAGAAGGUUCUUUAACAUCGAUUUUUGAACCGUCGUCAAAAGUUGUCCACUUUCAAUAAUGGUCAAUUCAACAUUGGUUCUAAACCAAUGUUAAAAUCCUCCAAAAUCGAUGUUGAAAGCUUUUUUUUAGUAGCGGAGGAAACAAAAAAAAGGAACUGUGAGAAAGGAUGGGAAAGAGAAAAUGUUUCAAUGUGGGAGAAUGUAUGAUAAUACUAUACAAAUUGAUGUAUAUAUAUAACGACUAUAAAGAGUGAUGCAUAAUGAACCACUUGACUAAGUGGUCUAUGCUAGAAUUUGCCAUGAGAUAUAUGUGAUUUCUUUUACCGCGAAGAGAAGUUCUCAAAGAAAAUUAACCUUAUUUAUUUUUCGCAACAUUUUUAUUUAUUAAUUAGCUAUGGGGUAAAAGGUGUCAUCAUUAAAAUCUUAAAAUGAUAUAAGAUGGCACUUGAAAAGAAAUAAAAAUAUUGUUAGGAGUUAAACACAACUCAAUCCAAAAGACUAGCAUAUUAGGUGGAAGAGCCUUAUAGUUUAAGGGUACCACAUCAAGUAUUUAUUAUUCUCAAUGUGGGACUACUAACACUCUCACACCCUUUAAGAGUCGAUAUUCACAACAGGUUUUACUCUAUUAACACUGACCGAUGGUAACCCUUUAUGCUUUGAUGACUUCACUCAAGUAUUAGUAUCAAUUUGGUACCUUAAUCUAAAUUAUAGAUAAUCCUUUUUGUAGUUUAAUUUUUAAUGAAAACAACAAUUAUUAAGACUUAAGUAAAUGAACAAAACCCAAUUCUGAUCCAUUGACUAGUUCAUUAUGUGACAAAGUCUCAUACAUGAUUUAUGUACCACAUCAAAUAAUUUAUUUUUCUCAACAGAAGACUCCAAACAUUAUCACCCAUGUUAAGACCCCUUUGAUCCCUCAAAUACUCCCAAUAGUACAAUACGAGAUAUAAUGGGUCCAUAAUGCGGGAGAUUACUAACUCCCAGGACUCUAAACAUACCCAUGUUUACCUUAAUCAGGUACACAUAAUUAAUUUUCAUACUUAAUUAUCACUUUUAAAAAUUCUAAAUUGAGUGUCAUUCUCUACCGAUACACUACAACCCUCUUUGUUGCACCACCAGACAGUAUAUAUUUGGAUUCACACAUGGGACCUCCAUUAUGAUCAAGAAUUAGCUAGCACCAUUAUUUAUCCCCAUGACACAUUCGAUACGCUCCAACGGUUGAUAAUCCUCUCGUCCGUAUAGAUUAUAAGUAAUAAAAAAAAUCUUGAUAAAAAAUCAGUAACAAAAAACCACCAAUUCUGCUUUCGUUAUAGAAGAAGAAGUCUACUUAAUUAAUUAAGGGAAGGACUUGUUUUUGGAUCAAAGAAAAUAGCCAGAAUGGAAAGCUGUCAUAUGUGGAACGGAACCAGAAUCUUGUGAAGGUAUAAUAUGUAUGUUAAAAUUCAAUUAAAUAGAGACUGCAUGGACUAUUACGUGGAGGCUGCAUGAUAUAUAUUAAUGUGGCCUCUCUUGUCCUGGUUCUCUCUAUUAUAUUACGUCCAUGGUAUUGGUUUUUUUAUUCAAUUCUCUUUAGCUAAGGGUGUAUUACAUGCCGGAAGGGGGUCUUAUAUAUAUUUUAGUUAUUCCACUGGUGCACCUCUUGCCGAUAUUAAGUUAAUUAUUCUUGGAUUCUUUUGCUACUCGGUUUUCAAUAAUUUUUUUUGUUAUAUAAAAAAGUUCUCGUAUAUAUAGAGAGAACCUUAUCUAACCUAGCUCAAUUUUUGCUACGAUGUCAAACUUAAAUUCAAUGUAAAAUUAAUUAAUAUCACGAAACACCAAGAUCACCGAAACUAUUAAGCCUCCGGAAUAUCUGCAUACCUGUGCAUGUGAAAGUUAUAUGGAGUCCAAAAUAGGAGAAGCAAACUAACUACACGAAUAUGCUCCCUUGUCAAAACGACAAAUGAAUAACAACAAAAUUAACCAAUCAAUCUGCUUUAUAUAGCGAAAGACCACACAAACCUAACAGCCUCGAAAUUUUUUCCUCUUUGGAUGCAAUUGGAAUGAUUAAUCUUAUCACAGAUAUUUGAUAUAUAUAGGUUGAGUACCCCAUUACUCUCUCUUAAUAAAUUCCUUUUCCUUAUAUAAAUAAAAAAAGAAGUAUAGUUAACGCCAAACAUAUAUUGUGGAUUAAUGAUGCGCGCACGAUAGUUAUGUAUCAUGAUGCUUAUGAAGUUGGUGGGUUAACAAUUGUUCCUACAUAUGACACCAAAUGUUCAGUACCAACCCAAAAGAUGGAAUUUUUUAUGUAACUCAAGUUGAUCUCACCUUGAACCUCUCAAACCUUCCACUCUGAACAGGGUGUGGAUAUUAGAUAUGAUCAUAUGAAAUGCAUGAAUGUUUACCUCUCUUCUUCCUUUCUAUCCUUUUAUAUAUACUCAAUGUUUCACUCCGUUAUUUAGUUGUGUAAUCCAUAUGUGUGCAUGCUAGGUAUACCUUCUGUAUCUCGAGAUUUGCAGGUUCUGUUACGAUUUUUCUCAAUCCUUCUUUGGGUAUUUUGCACCUUCUUAUUCUUAUUUAGACAUGUAAUUUAAUUAGACACGUAAUUCUCAAUCCUUCUUAUUCUUAUUUUAAAAAAAAGUUAAUUGAGAUGUGUUUAAAAUUUGUAAUAAUACUUAAAAAACGCUUUAAUAUUAGAGAUGUAACUCAUGUAAGUAUGUUUUAAAAGUUUAAUUCCUUAAAAUAAAAGUUUACUAAAUUAUGAUCAAACCAUCGAUCUAAAAUAAAAAAUUCAAUUGUUUAAAUUUUAUGAUGUAUGUAUAACAUUUUAGUUUAAUUUUCACAUAUUGUAAUGUUAAUGUAAAAAUUUAUAUUAUCAAUUAAUAAAAACCAUGUUAAAUAUCACUUUUAAAUUAAUUAUUAAAAAGUGAAUAGUCUUAUAAUACAUAAUAAUGACACAUUUUUUUGUAUAGUAAUUAUCUUUUUGGUACGGGUGAUACGGCACAUUUAGUUUAGUUUCUAAUUAAAUUCAUACUAUUUGUUUUCUCUGAGAAAGUAUUUGACACGACACAGCCGUUUGCAUUUCUCUUUAGUUGAACUUAAAUACCACAGUCAAUGUUGAAAGUUCUCGACAUGAUAGUUUGAUGUUACGUAUUAACCCUGGCCGACACUAUGGUUAGGCAAAAGGAGGGGAAAUUAAUUAAUAUAUUAAAUUGGACUACAUACUACUUUUUAAAAAAGAAAAAAAAAAUUGCCCUCCCCACAUGGAGAAACUCUUCAUUUUCACAAACUAAAUAGAUAAUUAUCUAACAACUCCUAGUGUCAGAAAGUUUAUGACUAUGCAAGUAUAAAGAAGGUUCAUUCAGCGUUAUGCUUGUAUAUGUAAAGAGGUUAUUUUUCCAUUUAAACUAUGAUCAACCAAACCAAAUUGCAACUUUACAAUUAUCUUUGUGGCAGGGCUCACUCUCAUCACGAACUAAAUAGAUAAAAUAUAUUAAAAAAGUCAUACAUACUUUUUUAUGAAAUAAAUAAAAUAUUAUCUACCUCUUUUACGUCAAAGUAUUAUUUACAUUAUAUAUAUAUAUAUAUAUAUAUUUCCUUUUUACCGAUUAACAUCCAAAUCUUUCUUCCUUUGAGGUUUAAAUCUAACAUUUCAUGCAAACUAUCCAAAAUUUUCACUAUUAGACUGAUUUUAGUGCCAUGUCAGAAUUAAUUUCUAGUCAAAUUAAAUUAAUGAGGGAAUGGGUUUAAAUUUUAAACACCAAAUGGUAACGAAGGAUAUAUAUACACUAGAAAGCCACUAAUUCUAAAGCAUCUUUACAUCACCUUUACGAAUUAGGAUUACCUUCAUCACGGGCUGAAUAUAACCCGAUUUCCACUUGUCACUACAUGUCAAAAAUGUCCUCUUACACAGCAUUGCUUUUUUCUUAUUCCCCUUGUCCAUGAAAAAUUGAAAUCGUAGUUUUGGCCCUCUUUUUUCACAAUUUUUUUUGUCACUGUGAUCGACUUUGUCCGUGAAUCCAAGCUGAACGAGAGAAGCUCAUUCACUCUGCCACACCGUGGGCCCCACCUAUAUAUCCUGAACGAUUUUUCGGUCCUUGAAGUCAAUGAUUCAUCGCAAAAAAUGAAUAAUUUAAUUCCAAUUGUUAGGAGUUAGAUUUAGAUUUAGAUUGAUUGAUUGAUUGCCACAACUCUUGUCCGUGAUCAUUAAGACUCACGAGAAAGAAAGAGAAAAAAACUAGGGUUGGAUCAUGAUAUAAAGGCCCCUCAUUGUAUCUUCACUACUCAAACAUAUAUUCCCCCUUUCCCUAGUUUAGCUACUUACCUCAAUCUUUCUCAUGGGAAAGUUUGCCCUAGCCAAUAUCCUCUUGGUCCUUCUCUUGAACUUGAGCACUUUGCUCAAUGUUCUUGCUUGUCCCUAUUGCCCUUACCCUUCUCCCAAGCCUCCAAAAAAGCCUCCCGUUGUGAAACCACCGGUUCACAAACCACCAAAACCAUGUCCACCACCCAAGUCAUCUCCAAAACCACCCCAUGUACACCCUCCCUAUGUUCCAAAACCUCCUCACUACCCUAAACCACCAGUUCAUCCACAUCCACCCCAUGUCCCAAAACCUCAUCCAAAGCCUCCAGUGCAUCCCCAUCCACCUUAUGUCCCAAAACCACCAGUUGUGCCAGUUACACCACCAUAUGUUCCAAAACCACCAAUUGUGAACCCUCCCUAUGUCCCAAAACCGCCUGUUGUGCCAGUUACACCACCUUAUAUCCCUAAACCACCAGUUGUGACACCACCAUAUGUCCCUAAACCACCAGUGGUGCCAGUUACACCACCAUAUGUCCCUAAACCACCAGUGGUGCCAGUUACACCACCUUAUGUGCCAAAACCACCCAUUGUGAAACCACCAAUUGUUUAUCCACCAGUUGUGCCAAAACCACCAAUUGUUACACCACCUUAUGUGCCAAAACCACCCAUUGUGAAACCACCAAUUGUUUAUCCACCAGUUGUGCCAAAACCACCAAUUGUUACACCACCUUAUGUGCCAAAACCACCCAUUGUGAAACCACCAAUUGUUUAUCCACCAGUUGUGCCAACACCACCUAUUGUGUAUCCACCUGUUGUACCAACUCCAC